RNAcentral lists this non-coding RNA (30 nucleotides) under Rattus norvegicus (Norway rat). Lineage: Eukaryota; Metazoa; Chordata; Mammalia; Rodentia; Muridae. The record is from RNAcentral.
UGAUUGAAAAUAACUCUGGACGUGGGAAGU